CCUACGGGAGGCAGCAGUAGGGAAUCUUCCGCAAUGGACGAAGGUCUGACGGAGCAACGCCGCGUGAACGAUGAAGGCCUUCGGGUCGUAAAGUUCUGUUGUUAGGGAAGAACAAGUGCUAGUUGAAUAAGCUGGCACCUUGACGGUACCUAACCAGAAAGCCACGGCUAACUACGUGCCAGCAGCCGCGGUAAUACGUAGGUGGCAAGCGUUGUCCGGAAUUAUUGGGCGUAAAGCGCGCGCAGGCGGUUCCUUAAGUCUGAUGUGAAAGCCCCCGGCUCAACCGGGGAGGGUCAUUGGAAACUGGGAAACUUGAGUGCAGAAGAGGAAAGUGGAAUUCCAAGUGUAGCGGUGAAAUGCGUAGAGAUUUGGAGGAACACCAGUGGCGAAGGCGACUUUCUGGUCUGUAACUGACGCUGAGGCGCGAAAGCGUGGGGAGCAAACAGGAUUAGAUACCCUGGUAGUCCACGCUGUAAACGAUGAGUGCUAAGUGUUAGAGGGUUUCCGCCCUUUAGUGCUGAAGUUAACGCAUUAAGCACUCCGCCUGGGGAUACGGUCGCAAGACUGAAACUCAAAUGAAUUGACGG
RNAcentral lists this ribosomal RNA (587 nucleotides) under uncultured bacterium. Its description in RNAcentral is "bacterial SSU rRNA". It matches the Rfam family "Bacterial small subunit ribosomal RNA", at positions 338 to 916 of the family's 1533-position model. The record is from RNAcentral.